GGGGGCCACAGACAUGUGGCUGUGGUUUCCACACUAAGAAGCCUUCCAGCUCAGUCCCUGACACCCCAUUUCCCCGUACCACUGUUGGCACUGGUCAAGGGCAAGGCCCUUCAAGCGCUGCUGCUGCUGCUGCUGCCUCCUCAGCAUCAACAUCUGCUGGACCUGUGCAGAGGCCUGCUUUGAAUCUGGCUAUGUUUACAAAACCACGGUUUGGCGGGUCGCAUGGUGCUGCUUUGAAGCCAAAUUUAACUGUGGCUAGGAAGCCUGCAAAGCCCCUUAUUAGCACGUC
This is a non-coding RNA of Labrus bergylta (ballan wrasse), 289 nucleotides long. Lineage: Eukaryota; Metazoa; Chordata; Actinopteri; Labriformes; Labridae. The record is from RefSeq and is a predicted model, not a curated record.